Molecule: ribosomal RNA, 562 nt
Filed under: Debaryomyces fabryi
Lineage: Eukaryota; Fungi; Ascomycota; Pichiomycetes; Serinales; Debaryomycetaceae
Description: LSU rRNA
Rfam family: Eukaryotic large subunit ribosomal RNA
Source: RNAcentral
GUACGGCGAGUGAGCGGCAAAAGCUCAAAUUUGAAAUCUGGCACCUUCGGUGUCCGAGUUGUAAUUUGAAGAAGGUAACUUUGGAGUUGGCUCUUGUCUAUGUUCCUUGGAACAGGACGUCACAGAGGGUGAGAAUCCCGUGCGAUGAGAUGCCCAAUUCUAUGUAAAGUGCUUUCGAAGAGUCGAGUUGUUUGGGAAUGCAGCUCUAAGUGGGUGGUAAAUUCCAUCUAAAGCUAAAUAUUGGCGAGAGACCGAUAGCGAACAAGUACAGUGAUGGAAAGAUGAAAAGAACUUUGAAAAGAGAGUGAAAAAGUACGUGAAAUUGUUGAAAGGGAAGGGCUUGAGAUCAGACUUGGUAUUUUGCGAUCCUUUCCUUCUUGGUUGGGUUCCUCGCAGCUUACUGGGCCAGCAUCGGUUUGGAUGGUAGGAUAAUGACUAAGGAAUGUGGCUCUACUUCGGUGGAGUGUUAUAGCCUUGGUUGAUACUGCCUGUCUAGACCGAGGACUGCGUCUUUGACUAGGAUGCUGGCAUAAUGAUCUUAAGCCACCCGUCUUGAACCNAC